AUUGAACGCUGGCGGCAGGCCUAACACAUGCAAGUCGAGCGGAUGAAGGGAGCUUGCUCCUGGAUUCAGCGGCGGACGGGUGAGUAAUGCCUAGGAAUCUGCCUGGUAGUGGGGGAUAACGUCCGGAAACGGGCGCUAAUACCGCAUACGUCCUGAGGGAGAAAGUGGGGGAUCUUCGGACCUCACGCUAUCAGAUGAUCCUAGGUCGGAUUAGCUAGUUGGUGGGGUAAAGGCCUACCAAGGCGACGAUCCGUAACUGGUCUGAGAGGGUGAUCAGUCACACUGGAACUGAGACACGGUCCAGACUCCUACGGGAGGCAGCAGUGGUGAAUAUUGGACAAUGGGCGAAAGCCUGAUCCAGCCAUGCCGCGUGUGUGAAGAAGGUCUUCGGAUUGUAAAGCACUUUAAGUUGGGAGGAAGGGCAGUAAGUUAAUACCUUGCUGUUUUGACGUUACCAACAGAAUAAGCACCGGCUAACUUCGUG
RNAcentral lists this ribosomal RNA (484 nucleotides) under uncultured bacterium. Its description in RNAcentral is "partial 16S ribosomal RNA". It matches the Rfam family "Bacterial small subunit ribosomal RNA", at positions 30 to 507 of the family's 1533-position model. The record is from RNAcentral.